RNAcentral lists this ribosomal RNA (450 nucleotides) under uncultured bacterium. RNAcentral describes it as "SSU rRNA". It matches the Rfam family "Bacterial small subunit ribosomal RNA", at positions 26 to 518 of the family's 1533-position model. The record is from RNAcentral.
AGAGCGAACGCUGGCGGCAUGCUUAACACAUGCAAGUCGCACGGGCAGGGGUAACUCUGUCAGUGGCGGACGGGUGAGUAACGCGUAGGUAUCUAUCUCUGGGUGGGGGAUAACCGUGGGAAACUACGGCUAAUACCGCAUGACACCUGAGGGUCAAAGGCGCGAGCCGCCUGGAGAGGAGCCUGCGUUCGAUUAGCUUGUUGGUGGGGUAAAGGCCUACCAAGGCGACGAUCGAUAGCUGGUCUGAGAGGAUGAUCAGCCACAUUGGGACUGAGACACGGCCCAAACUCCUACGGGAGGCAGCAGUGGGAAUAUUGGACAAUGGGCGUAAGCCUGAUCCAGCAAUGCCGCGUGGGUGAAGAAGGUUUUCGGAUUGUAAAGCCCUUUUGGCGGGGACGAUGAUGACGGUACCCGCAGAAUAAGCCCGGCUAACUUCGCGCCAGCAGCCGC